CACUCCUGCGGGAGGCAGCAGUGGGGAAUUUUGGACAAUGGGCGAAAGCCUGAUCCAGCAAUGCCGCGUGCAGGAUGAAGGCCUUCGGGUUGUAAACUGCUUUUGUACGGAACGAAAAAGCUCCUUCUAAUACAGGGGGCCCAUGACGGUACCGUAAGAAUAAGCACCGGCUAACUACGUGCCAGCAGCCGCGGUAAUACGUAGGGUGCGAGCGUUAAUCGGAAUUACUGGGCGUAAAGCGUGCGCAGGCGGUUAUGUAAGACAGAUGUGAAAUCCCCGGGCUCAACCUGGGAACUGCAUUUGUGACUGCAUGGCUAGAGUACGGUAGAGGGGGAUGGAAUUCCGCGUGUAGCAGUGAAAUGCGUAGAUAUGCGGAGGAACACCGAUGGCGAAGGCAAUCCCCUGGACCUGUACUGACGCUCAUGCACGAAAGCGUGGGGAGCAAACAGGAUUAGAAACCCGAGUAGUCCC
This 471-nucleotide ribosomal RNA is filed under the name uncultured organism. Its description in RNAcentral is "partial 16S ribosomal RNA". It matches the Rfam family "Bacterial small subunit ribosomal RNA", at positions 334 to 797 of the family's 1533-position model. The record is from RNAcentral.